Long non-coding RNA from Homo sapiens (human), 2047 nucleotides. RefSeq lists it as uncharacterized. The record is from RefSeq and is a predicted model, not a curated record. NCBI's taxonomy places the organism in Eukaryota, Metazoa, Chordata, Mammalia, Primates, Hominidae. The transcript has 3 exons.
GUAUUCAUCAGGCAGCAGGAUGAUCUCUUGUGGAGUAAAAUGUCAGGUGUUUUUUUUUUUAAGAAAUCGAUUUUUAGUUGUGACGUCAUUUGGCAGGCUGUCCACGGUAUCACUUUCUGCUUAUUUUUAAAAGGUCUGAUUUAAGCCGACGCUGUUCUACCCUGCCACUCCUAGCCAUAAAUUGGUACUGUGUGUAAGUUUUGCUUUUUGUUUGAUCUGAAGCAGCUUUUGUUUCUUUCCCUCAGAAGCGAUGUCCCCGUUAACUUUUGUUCAGUAAAGAGACAGUGUAAGAAAAGGUGGAACUGUGUUGCUGAUAACUUAUCAGGUCUUUUAUACCCUUUUGUGUCUUUUUAAGUUUGCUUCUGAUCCCUGAGUUUACCUUAUGUCAGGCAUGUGGAAGUAUAAGCACAGUUCAAAUAUGUUAUUGGAUAAGCGUGUAAUUGAAUAAGGAGUUGUAACCUAAAGUUAGAAAAAUCUAACUCAUAAAGAGUAUGGGAAUUCCUCCUUGUCUAUCAAAACAAGUUGGUUAAGUCAGAGGCAAGACGAAAGGCCCAGGUUUACAUUACAUGUAAAUUGUAUGUGCUUUUGCUAGUUUUCCUGCCACUUAGGUGGCUUACUUAACAUGCUUCAGUUAACUCACCUUUAAAAUGGGAGCAAUAAUAGUUAUCACGGGGUUGUUGUGUUCUUACAUUUGGACAUAUAGUUAGCUGUAACUAUAAGUUAUUUUUGUUAUGCAUCCCAAAAACUUGGUUUCUGUCCCCACCCCCCGCCCACCAACUUUUUCUUACAUAUCAAAACCUUAUAAUAAAAUCCAUGGAGACAUAGCAAUUUUGAACAGAAAGAACCUUUGAGAUUAUUUGGUCUGCUUCCCACAUUUUAACUGCCGUACGAAGAGGAGACAUGAACAGUUCUCAGUCUUUGGAGCCAGACAGAUUUGGGUCAGGUUCAAAUCCUUGGCACUCUACUAAGAUGUUUUAUAUAAAGUACAGCUUGUAAGGGCACCAGGCCUCCUGGAGUCAGACAUCAUGGGCUUGAAUCCUAGCUAUUCUUAUUUGUGAGCUGUGUGAUGUUGCGAUAAUUACUAAGCCUUUCUGUAUUCCAUCUCAUGGUGUUUAUGUAAUGAUGGAAACUAUAUGUAAAGCACUAAACAUAUAUAAACAUAAACAUAUAAAGUCUGUCAUCUUUGUCAAAUUCCUCUUUGCCCUCUGUUUCCUCGACUGUAAAAUGGAAGUAAUACCUAUUUUUGCUAGGAUUUUGGAAGGAUUAGAUAUAAAUAAAACAUGGUAUGGUGGUAUUUGAUAAAUUGUAGUAAUAGAAGUAAUAUCAUUCAGUGAAAGUCAGUACAAACUUUAAUCUUGUACUGCUGUGGAUGUGUUGUGUAGUCAUGGUGUAGCCCCCUUUUAUUUAAUCGAUUUGCCUUAAUUAUUCAGCACAACAGUUAUAAUAGAAUGAUCAUCUAAAAAUAGGAAUGCAUGGGGAAAUCACGCAGGGAGCAGAGACUUAUAAAAAGGUACACCUAGAAAUAAGGCGCUGUUGUGUGAGGUUAUGAGGCCCAGAACCAUUACAACAACCUUACUAUCAUCCUGAAAAGGAAAUGACACAUGGAAGUGGAUAGAACUAAGAAAAUUAAGUUGGAGCCUAGGGCUGAAGUCAGUCUUGAGACCCACCCUACCUCUAGAUUUAAGUUAUGCCAGCCAUACAUUUCCUCACCACUUAAGCCAACUUGAAUUGGGGUUUCUGUUACUUGCUACCCAAAGCAAGUAACCUCCUCAGGAAGGUCUUUCAUGACCAUAUUACCUAAAGCACCUCCUGGUUCACUCUCUGUUGUUAUCCACUGAUUUCCUUCACAACAUGUACCACACUCUAUACUACAACAUAUAGCUGCAGUGAUCUUGGGGUGUGUGUGUGUGUGUGUGUGUGUGUGUGUGUUAGGUACUUCCCUUCUUUGAUUGUCUGACCCAGAGGGCAGUGAUUGUUUUUCUUCUUUAUAGUGCAUUAUAGAUGCUCAAUCAAUAUUUGUUGAAUAGUUGAAUGAAAAAACAAACUU